RNAcentral lists this ribosomal RNA (161 nucleotides) under Metrosideros carminea. Its description in RNAcentral is "5.8S ribosomal RNA". It matches the Rfam family "5.8S ribosomal RNA". Rfam says of the family: 5.8S ribosomal RNA (5.8S rRNA) is a component of the large subunit of the eukaryotic ribosome. It is transcribed by RNA polymerase I as part of the 45S precursor that also contains 18S and 28S rRNA. Lineage: Eukaryota; Viridiplantae; Streptophyta; Magnoliopsida; Myrtales; Myrtaceae. The record is from RNAcentral.
GACUCUCGGCAACGGAUAUCUCGGCUCUCGCAUCGAUGAAGAACGUAGCGAACUGCGAUACUUGGUGUGAAUUGCAGAAUCCCGUGAACCAUCGAGUCUUUGAACGCAAGUUGCGCCCGAAGCCAUUCGGUCGAGGGCACGUGUGCCUGGGUGUCACACAU